CCAUACCCUGGAUUCCAGUCCCUACUGGAGAUAGGAUCUUCACAGAUGAGAUCUCAAGGUUUAAGAUCUCAAGAAGAGCUCGUCCUAGACAAUCCAGGUGGUACAGCUAUGUGCAGUGGGGAGCAGCCUGGCCAUCUGCCCUUUCGGCUCAGGCAGUGAGCCCCUUAUAUUCUGGCUCGGCCACAGACAUUUGGUGUGGGGUAGGGGUCAGGUGGAACAUGAUAGGGGAUCGUAGAAAGCACAAGGCCAAGGGGCAGCCCUGUAAGGAGGUUGGAGAUGGCACGCUGUGACAGCAGCUGAAUGUCCCAUAGGCCGGCACAGGGCUAUUGCAUAUGCUGGGCCUGCCUUUCUGCAGGUGCCCUUCACUUGGCCCGAUGCUUACCUGGGUCUUGGCCAUCAGACCUGGGUCAAGCAUGAGGAGAGCUCUGUCCCAUCCCGCACAUGAGUCUUGCUCACACCUGUCACUCUGCACUGUCUUGAGAGGGCUUGUGCCCUGGGGAAUUUCUACAGUAAGUUAAAACUUCACAUCUUUCUUUCACCUCAAAAAAAAAGAACCUGUGGACCGAUUUUAAGCCACCUCAGCACAUAAGGGGUGCAGCUGGGGUUUGGCCCACUCAGUCUGGCUCCAAAGGUCCCAUGGUCCCCACUGUGGCCGGUGCUCUCUAUGUUCCGUGGCAGCUCCACCUCUCAGCCCCACGUACAGACUGUGUCCCUUGCACAGUUAGUAAGUCCUUCUGGCUCCUUGCCCCGGGCGAGAGGUCAGGCGCCAUGGCUAUCAUGGAGGCCCUCUGGGAGUCACCGGGAAGUAUGGCCCUAGAACAGAGGUUUCCAAACCUACUAGAGAGUGCAGAGACAAUUAGGAAGGCACCCUGGGCCCUCUGUGAUUCUGCUUUGAAGCUGCAAUUCCGGGCUACUCCCAGAGACACCUAAAAACACCCACCCAAAGCUCAGCGCUGCCCAGAACUCUCAUCAAGAGCUGCCUUUCUGCACAGCUUCCAUGCAAUUUCCUCGGAUGUCCCUGGAGGCCUUCCACAACUUCCUGGGCCUAACUUCCGCCUCGCCUCAGUGCUAAUGAGCCACUCACUGGCUGCUCCCUCUAGAUACCUGCCAGUCCCCUGCCCUGCCCUGUCCUCUGCAGCUUUCCUCCCCAUCUUUGAAAUCCUCCCUGAUUCCCCCACGUUAGCUAGUCCUUCUCUUUGGCUCCAUAGGACUUUGUGCAGACCAGUCAAGCUGCCUUUGACACUCUGUGUUGUGGAUUUCGAUCCUCCACAAGAAAGAUCUCUCCAUGAGAGUAAAAUCUUCCGUAGAGCUGAGCGGAAGGUAGACGCUCCGGAUGUGGCUGAUAGAUGGAUGGGCAGACAGGCAGGUGGAUGGAUGAACUCUUGGCUGGAGGAAGGAUGAGUGAAUGGAUGGGUGAGUGGAUGGAUGGCUGAUA
This 1435-nucleotide long non-coding RNA is filed under the name Marmota monax (woodchuck). The record is from RNAcentral. Lineage: Eukaryota; Metazoa; Chordata; Mammalia; Rodentia; Sciuridae.